RNAcentral lists this ribosomal RNA (550 nucleotides) under uncultured bacterium. RNAcentral describes it as "partial 16S ribosomal RNA". It matches the Rfam family "Bacterial small subunit ribosomal RNA", at positions 355 to 889 of the family's 1533-position model. The record is from RNAcentral.
UGGGGAAUAUUGCACAAUGGGCGCAAGCCUGAUGCAGCCAUGCCGCGUGUGUGAAGAAGGCCUUCGGGUUGUAAAGCACUUUCAGCGAGGAGGAAGGUGGUGAACUUAAUACGUUCAUCAAUUGACGUUACUCGCAGAAGAAGCACCGGCUAACUCCGUGCCAGCAGCCGCGGUAAUACGGAGGGUGCAAGCGUUAAUCGGAAUUACUGGGCGUAAAAGCGCACGCAGGCGGUUUGUUAAGUCAGAUGUGAAAAUCCCCGGGCUCAACCUGGGAACUGCAUUUGAAAACUGGCAAGCUAGAGUCUCGUAGAGGGGGGUAGAAAUUCCAGGUGUAGCGGUGAAAUGCGUAGAGAUCUGGAGGAAUACCGGUGGCGAAGGCGGCCCCCUGGACGAAGACUGACGCUCAGGUGCGAAAAGCGUGGGGAGCAAAACAGGAUUAGAUACCCUGGUAGUCCACGCUGUAAAACGAUGUCGAUUUUGGAGGUUGUGCCCUUGAGGCGUGGCUUCCGGAGCUAACGCGUUAAAUCGACCGCCUGGGGAGUACGGCCGC